Molecule: non-coding RNA, 128 nt
Organism: Felis catus (domestic cat)
Lineage: Eukaryota; Metazoa; Chordata; Mammalia; Carnivora; Felidae
Source: Rfam
GUCUACGGCCAUACCACCCUGAACACGCCCGAUCUCGUCUGAUCUCGGAAGGUAAGCAGGGUCGGGCCUGGUUAGUACUUGGAUGGGAGACCGAAUCAGCCUUUUGGCUAAUCCUUGGGUGGAGGAUC